Poecilia reticulata (guppy) is the source of this 1890-nucleotide non-coding RNA. Lineage: Eukaryota; Metazoa; Chordata; Actinopteri; Cyprinodontiformes; Poeciliidae. The record is from RefSeq and is a predicted model, not a curated record.
AACAAAUGUUAUUGUUCUGGUCGGAACCUUUGUAUUUGCGUGUUUCUGGUACGCCCAUAAAUCUGAUGCACAAGAGGCAAAAGCAAACAACGAGCUUCUGUUGCCACCAAGAAGAGGCGAUGAGGAAAAACGAGAUUCUGUCGGAUCUGCAGUGAAAAAUGGCUCCGUAACGAGGGUGGGAGAGGCCGGGUUGACGCCCACCCUGCAGACCGCUAGGUGGGCCGGCUGUCUGUCUGUCUGUCUGUCUGUCUGACGACUGAUUGCUCUUCUGCAGCAUGAAUGAUGAGACUGAAACAAGCUGGGAGCUCCGGAAAACACAAAGAGAAGCAAGUUGAAGCAAUUACUGCUGAGGGAACGAUGGUGUUGGGCCUCAGAGAGGAGCUUGAUGUGCUUUAUGCAUUCUUAAACAUCCAUACAGCGAGUAUGGAAGUUAGAUUGUGAUUUAAAAAAAAAAAAAAAUGAAGCAGAAAAAACGUAACAAAUACAGAAAUGUGUUCAGGUGAAGGUCAGAAAGGUCUUAAUUUUUCAUUUCGUUCACAAUGUUGUAGACACACUUCUGUUUUGGUACUUCAAAACUACUUCAUCUUAAAGGGAAAAUAAAUGCAAAUCAUCAAAGUAUCUUCAAAGUUGCUGUGGGAAGGAAGGAUUUCCAGUAGCAGUCAGUCUUGCAACAUAUCUGAAGAAGCCUCUGAUUGAAGACAAUGCUGCUCACCUUUAAAUCUGUCAGCAGAGGUGUUCGAGUCAGAGAUAUUCCAAAUUAAAUUCCCCUCCUACAUAAAUAAAAUCUCAAACUGUGUUUUGUGUUCACACGGUUUUUUUUGAUAUUGUUUUGGAUCUGAAAUCGUCUGGAGACAAUCGGACAACUCUCAGCAUCAUUUUUAAACUACAAUACAAAAAUAAGGCAUCUUCAGUCAGAGGCUUCUUCAAAACUGCUGUAAUACUGACCACUACAGGAGAUUUUGUGUAAAAUACAGGAGGCACAAUCUCAACACAAGCAGAGAACCAGGCACAUAAAACAGGAGUCCAAACAGUUCACAUUUAAUGCCCUGGGCUUUAUUUUCUUAUUUUAGUGAGAGUUCUGUCACAUUUUUUAAGUCUUUUCAGCCUCCAGGUGGGACAAGUAAACCUCAAAGAUAUAUUUUGCCAUUGGACUGGGCAUUCAGGUUCUGACAAAGACAAGAAGCACUACUAAGUAAUGCUGCCUUUGUGCCUCUUAACUCUUCACGGAAGAGACGACGUACAUUUUCCCCAAAAGGAAGGCACCAAAUACUUGUGGUUUUUGGCCUCGCAGCCAUCUGGAGAUUCUUUUUACCAAGAAGAAAUAAAAAGAAGAAGAAAAAAAAAAAGAAAACAAAGAGGAAGUGAGAAAAGAAAUUCUCACAAACGCCCCUCAUUGGGAUUUUUUCUCUCUCUUUCCGAUAUUAAAAACUGGAAUGAUGAAACAGCGAUUACUGCCCGUUCACCUCCCUUAUCACCUAUGCAUGAACAAGUAACAAAUGAACAAAAGAAUGAAGUCUUAAAAAAAAGCUUACAAUCAAUUUAACCACAAGGAGAAAAACAAAAUACAAAAAUAGCUUUUUUUGUUUUGUAAAAAAUAAAAUAAAAUAAAGUCAGAUAAAACAAUUAAAGGAGACGCCACUUGCAUGAAAAUGACAGAUGACUCCUUUAAAAAAAAUAAAAAAUACAAAAGCAGCAUUGAUAUUUAUAUAAAAACAAAAAGUCACAAAACAAUAGUGCUUAAAUUAGAAGCAGAAGCUUCUGGGAAGAGACUUCAUCCCUGUUUUGUUACUUGUGUUUGGGACAUUAUACGAAGAGGAAGAGUUGCUCCUCCUCCUCCUCAUCAUCACAGCUCACGUUAAUGUGAUCCAGGGGGAGGAAAAAAAAAAAAAA